This 427-nucleotide ribosomal RNA is filed under the name uncultured bacterium. RNAcentral's name for it is "bacterial SSU rRNA". It matches the Rfam family "Bacterial small subunit ribosomal RNA", at positions 355 to 775 of the family's 1533-position model. The record is from RNAcentral.
UCGAGAAUUUUUCUCAAUGGGCGAAAGCCUGAAGGAGCGACGCCGCGUGGGGGAUGAAGGGUUUCGAUCCGUAAACCCCUGUCAUUUGUGAACAAUGGUGAUGGUUUAAGAGAUGAUCACUUGAUAGUAAUGAAAGAGGAAGGGACGGCUAACUCUGUGCCAGCAGCCGCGGUAAUACAGAGGUCCCAAGCGUUGUUCGGAUUCACUGGGCGUAAAGGGUGCGUAGGUGGCAUGAUAAGUUUGAUGUGAAAUCUCCGGGCUUAACCCGGAAAAGGCAUUGAAUACUAUCAGGCUGGAGGUUUGGAGGGGGGACUGGAAUUCUCGGUGUAGCAGUGAAAUGCGUAGAUAUCGAGAGGAACACCAGUGGCGAAGGCGAGUCCCUGGACAACACCUGACACUGAGGCACGAAAGCUAGGGGAGCAAACAG